Molecule: microRNA, 20 nt
Filed under: Mus musculus (house mouse)
Lineage: Eukaryota; Metazoa; Chordata; Mammalia; Rodentia; Muridae
Description: mmu-miR-466q
Gene: mmu-miR-466q
Source: miRBase by way of RNAcentral
GUGCACACACACACAUACGU